This 74-nucleotide transfer RNA is filed under the name Acidicaldus sp. RNAcentral's name for it is "tRNA-Gly". It matches the Rfam family "tRNA". Rfam says of the family: Transfer RNA (tRNA) molecules are approximately 80 nucleotides in length. Their secondary structure includes four short double-helical elements and three loops (D, anti-codon, and T loops). The record is from RNAcentral. Lineage: Bacteria; Pseudomonadati; Pseudomonadota; Alphaproteobacteria; Acetobacterales; Acetobacteraceae.
GCGGGUGUAGCUCAAUGGUAGAGCCCCAGCCUUCCAAGCUGGUUACGGGGGUUCGAUUCCCCUCACCCGCUCCA